RNAcentral lists this long non-coding RNA (5672 nucleotides) under Stegodyphus dumicola. RNAcentral describes it as "uncharacterized LOC118198935". The record is from RNAcentral. Lineage: Eukaryota; Metazoa; Arthropoda; Arachnida; Araneae; Eresidae.
CUUUAGAUCCACCCAGGGUUAAAAUAUUUUCCAAGGUCAUAAGAUGGAAAUGAACUAAGUGGGAUCUAGAUAGGAGAAAUAUGUCACUUAUUAAAUGCAAAUAGCUUCAUAGUGAAAAAACUGUUGUCUGUGCGACUCGAAAAGGCGAAGGAGAGGGAAAAGAAAUCCGGCCCUCAAAAUUUGUGGUAGAAGACCUAACAAGCACGUCUCAAUGACCUAGAAAGUUCUGCGUUAAGUAGGCUACAUAUAUAAAGCGUGGUUUUUGAACUUGCCCUUCGAGAUCUACGAUUCGAGUCUUAAAUUUUGGAUAUACUUGAAUAACAGUCGACAAAUACAAUUUCAACCAUGCAUCGGGGAAUUUUUAUAUUUUACUGCCUUGUUCUCCUCACAACAAGUCUGGUAGCUUCCAAGAGUUUGAAUCGUGCAGAGAGGGAUAUCCAAGAUAUGGCUAAUGUAGCUGCCACCGGAAGACAACUUGGCAGUGGACUUAGCGCACUGGGAACACUUGUAUCUCCCUUACUCUUUCUCAUGGGAAUGGGGUCCUUCAUAUCCAUGUUGCCUCAAAUGUUUCAGACCGUUCUUAGUGGUGUCGGUUCCAAUCUUAUUCAGUCUUUCACUGGAGCUGCUUCAGGCGGUGGCAGCUCUACUCGCCUGAAGAGGGAUCUUAUGAAUGAGGACGAUAUCUUGAAAGAAGUCGAGAAUAGACUCAAUCUUGCCGUUAUGAAAUAUGAGAGACCUAUGAAUGCUUAGCAAGAAUUCCAAGAAUUGGCAUUUCCGAAUAAGAGAGAAAAACAUUCUGGCGGGCCAGUUUGGAUUGAGUUAUGUGUAAAACUCCAGCAAAUCAUUGCCUAUUUUAUAUAGCUGCCAUAAAUUGAAGAGUGCAAUAAGUUGAUGUUUUGUCUAUUUCAUGAUUGAGUUAUAAUUCAUAUAUGUGUUCAUAUAUUUGUGCCGAAAGAGAGUUCAUUGAUUUCUAUAUAAUAGCUCUGUACUUCACAGAAACUUUGCACUGAAUUCAAACUGAAUAUAUUAAAACUGAAAGUAUUAUCUAAGUUAUGGGAAGUUUGAAUGAACUGAUUAGUUUACUUUGGAACGAGGGAGGAUUAAAAAAUAUUCCACACUGUUUUUGGCAAAACUAAUUCUGUUUCUCGUUCAACAUUUAAUAUGGCUGUAAGAUAUCAUGGAUUUCAUGCAAAAAUUGUGACAGUAUUGGUUUGUAAUUUAAGCUUAAGAAAAACAUAUGCAUAAUGAAAAUACAUGUCUUAGAUGAUUUUUAGCAUAAAAAACGAAAUUUUCGAAACCUUUUUUCCAUAACAACAUCAGUUUAAAUAUAUCUUGUUUUGGGUCUGUGAACGAUCGACUGAAAGUUUUCAAAUAAACUGAGGUUUGUCAAAAGAUAAAGCUUAUAUUUUGAUCGCUUUCUGGAAAACAUUCCAGGUACUACUCAGGAAAGAAAUUGAAGAUGGUCCCUGUUUAAUUUAUACUACGUAAACAGGCUUACACAUUUAUGUUAGUUCGCGUGGGAGAAUCCAAUGUUUCAAUUCAGCUAAAAUUGUCUAAUCAGUCGUCUGCAGGCGUCAUUGCUUUGAUAUAGUCUUUGAUAAAUAAGAUAGUCUAAAUCUGACUCCACUGUGGAAGAAACGUAUAGCUAAUAUUCGUUCUUAAGAUAAACAUUGUAGUUUCUUUGCUUAUAUGCCGUAUUUGGUUACAGCUCAAGAGAUAAAUGAAAGUAAAAUAAGUGCGUAUGGGCAUCGUUUCUUGCUUCUCCCCGGAAGUAUGUGGAAUGAUACUCAAUCUUAACUUUUGGAAUUUUAUACCCUGUCUUUCGUGAAAUACUAUCGGAUUGUCCGGAAAAUAAUGCAGGUUUUUGGAAUUGUUUAUCUUUCCUGUAUAAUUUUAGCAACAAAAAUAUUUUGAAUUACAUUAUUUUAUAUAUUAUUUUGAAGCUCUAUUUUCGCUCUAUAUUUUUAUAAUAUUCAUUUUGUUCCAAAAUGAUUUUAAAAAUUAUUUACUGGGUGUUUUUGUUUAGAUGAUAAAACGGGAUUUUCGGAAAAUUUACAUUUAUGAGUACAAGCUAGGCCGCAGCGCAGCACAAACGGCUCGAAAUGUCAACGAAGUAUGGCGCGAGAAAAGUGUGUGUGAAUCUACAGUUCAACGGUGGUACCAAAAAUUUCGCCGUGGAGAAUUUGAAGUGGAAGCUGAAGAGCGUCGUGGACGCUCUUCAGCUGUUUAUGACGACCAUUUGAACACAUUAAUUGAAACAAACUCGUGCACAACUGUUCAAGAGCUUUUGGUGAGCAAAACAACGAUUUCUGAUCACUUGAAUCGUAUAGGAAAGUCAAAUAAGCUCGAUAAGUUGGUGCCUCACAAAUUGAGCGAAAAUUAAAAAAAAUCGUCGUUUUGAAGCGUCGUCUGCUCUUCUUCUCCGCAACAAAACGACCCUUUUCUUCAUCGAAUUGUUACGUGCGAUGAAAAGUGGAUUCUCUAUAAAACCAGCUGCAUUCGGCUCAGUGGUUGGACCGAAGUCAGACACCACAACACUUUCCAAAAACAAAUUUCUACCGAAAGAAAAUUAUGGUGACUGUAUGGUGCGGCCGGUCUCAUCCACCACUGCUUCCUAAAUCUGGGCGAAACGAUUACGGCAGAUAAGUACUGUCAGCAAACCAACGAAAUGCACCAAAAGUAUGCAACGCAUGUGCCCGACAUUGGUCAACAGAAAGGGGCCAGUUCUUCUCCACGACAAUGCUCGCCCGCACUUCGUGAAACUGACUUUACAGAAAUUGAACGAAUUCUUCCUCUUCCGCCAUAUUUGCCUGACCUCUCGCCGACCGAUUAGCUCUUUCUCAAGCAUCUGGAUAACAUUCUGCAGAUAAAAUGCUUCAGAAACCAAGGCCAAAAACUCCUUUAACAACUUUAUCCCAUCCAGAACUCCAUAAUUUUAGUCUACCGGCAUAAAUAAACUUAUCUCAUUGGCAAAAAUGCAUUGAUUUGGUUGGUGCUUAGUUUGAUUAAUAAAAUUGCUUUUGAGUUGAGUUAUGAUACUUUAAAAAUAUAGGUUAAAAUCCUGCAUUAUUUUCCGGACAACCUAAUAGAUAAUUUUCUUUCUUUAGAAGAAAUCAACAGUCAAUAUUGUUUUGUACAUCUUGAAAUGAAAGUUAUUAUAUAAUCUUGAAGUUAUUAUAGAAUGUUUAUGAAAAAUGCAUGAAAAUGUUUUUGUUAUUUACAUGAAAUGUAAAAGAACUAUUUUUAUACCCAUUUUUAUUAAAACAUUCUUCAAAUGCUCAUUGAGUUUAGAUAAUUAAAAUAAUAAUUGCAAAAACUUCGAAAAAUGAAUUUUGUAUAAAAUUCGAAGGUUAGCAUAAGAACCUGGGAAAAGUCAGAGCAAUUUAAAAAGUUUCAUGUGUUUUAUUUUAUCAUGUAUGACCUCAAAAAUGUAUUCAGAUGCAUUCAAAUGCUAUAAAAUGCAACAAUCUCAGUAUCGUGCAAUAUAUUAUGAAAGCAGUAUUAUGAAAUAUCCUAAGAAUAAGGAAUCCUCUGCAAACAUUUAAUGAUUCUAUAUCGUUUAGCCUUUGCAGUGCAGUGUAAAAAUUUUUACAUAUAUUUGUCAUGCUAUGCAAUGAAAAUUUAUGAAAAUAAAUGACGGUAGAAUUAUAUUUUUAAGGAAUUAUAAUAUAAAAUGACUUUCAUUAUUUCGAAUAAGAAGGAAUUCGCUUAUCCUAAUUUAGAGAGAAAAUAAAUUUUCAUCAAACCUUUUUAUUUAUUGAUAAUCGUUUUUCUUUUGUAUUAUUAAUCGAACAUAUAUAAAUAAAAAGCUAAGAAAUCCUUAAAAUGGUAUAUUAUUGUCAAGUUUAAUUUCGUCUUUGAAAUGAUUUCCAUAAAAAUAUUACGUUCAGGAUUUUCUUGAUGUGUAUGUAUAUUUUUAUAAAGAAACAUGAAAAAAAUUAACUGGACAUGAAAUAAAGUGUUAGACAUUUUCAAUACCAAAGUUUUUAAUAAUUUAAAUAAAAGACGUGCAAUACUUUGAACUGGUAAAUGAGCAUUCAGUUAAAAAUCUGUAAAUGAAUCAUUAAAUGUUUAAUUUACAGUUAUUUAACUACGUUGUCAUUUUUAACUUGCUUAAAUUGUUAUAUGUUACAAAGGCUGUUCGCACACUUUUUAGACGAUUUUCAUUGUAUUUAUAAAAAUAUUUCAUCUAAAAGUUUUGUGUUUUAAAUGUUCUAAUUGAUAAAAACCUUAUUCCGCAUUAUUUUUCUAUACCGUAAUGUUCAGUACAAUGAAGCCUUCAAGCCUGUUUUAGUAUCAAAAGAGGUACGAGUAUUUCAUCCUAUUCCACUUCAACAGCUUUCCAAAGUCCAAAGAGGGUUCUAGGUCGACGUUCGAACAAUUCGAUUUUUAAAAGUCCGCAAGCGCAAAAAUCCGCGAUUCACGAGAUUUAGUUGGGAUAUGAGUGAAGGGCCUUGAUACCCGUUUCUAGUUCCAUUUUUUCCAGCAAAUGAACAGUAGAUUUUGACGUGUGGCUGCUUGUUUUGUCUACUCAUUGAUGGCACUAUGAAUAAGAGAAAGUGCUUCAUAUUUAAAAAUUGGGUAUAAAAUAUAUUCCUGAUAAUAUGUGGAAUUGAUCUUAGGAACUGUAUUCGAAUUAUAAAUCCCAAUAUGUUUUCAUAUCAUCUCCACGCCAUUUUUAAUAAACUUUUUAAUAUUGUUUUCUUUUCUUUUUCUAAAAUGGAAUAAUGUAAGGAGGCAUAGAUAAACCCGCCACAAAAGUGAUCGUACACCAAAAUAUUUUCGUAAAAUUUCUGCCACUUUUUUAUUUUGGUGAUGUUUAAAAAUUCGCUUGGUUUAUUCUUUGCUUGCUUACUUCGUUAUAUUUUAUUUAAUAUUUAAAAAUGGGUUGUAGUCGUAAGAAAUAUCUAUAUAUAAAAAAUAAAAAGCUUAUUCUUUCUUUCACAAAAUCAAUGGUAAAUAAGCCCGAAGCCUAUUGGAACCAUAUCUUAUGUUCAGAUGAAUGCAAAUUUAAUGUUAUUGGUUCGAAUGAACAUAUAAUUGUAUGGGAGAAGAAAAAAUGAGGAACUUAAUCCCGAGAACUUGUUUGGAACAGUAAACCAUGGCGGUAGAGUUGUCCUUGUGUGAGGGUGCGUGUCAAUAUUAUCAUUAAGUAAUUUGGUAUUUAUUGAUGGCAUAAUGAACCAUGAUCUUUAUUCAAAUAUUUUAAACGAUAAUUUAAAAUUAUCCGCCCCAAAUUUGACUCUUGGAAACUUUAUUUUUUAUCAGGAUAAUGAUUUUAAGCACACGGACCGCAAGUUUCGGCUUUGGUGUUGCUAUAAUUAUCCACAAGUUCUGAAAAUACCACCUCGGCUGAGGCGAAAUGCAGAUGGUACCCGCGGCCUUGGGUACCCGCGGAUGACGCUAACCCGGUAGAACAUAAAUAAACGAGUUUCGAAUCCAUGAGAGUUCCUAAUAAUUUUCACAAGGGAAAAUAGUAAGCAAUAAUAUGGCAACAGUACGUUAUUUAGGUGCACACUAGACUAGAAUCCAAUAGAAUACAUUUGGAGAGACUUAAAUAUGAAGAUACAACAUAAAAACGAAAACCGAACUAAACAUAGGAAUGAUGGAAGAAUGGAAGAACACUGAUGCACAUAUUACAACAACAGAAAAAAAAAAAAAAAAAAAAAAAA